This 3277-nucleotide long non-coding RNA is filed under the name Homo sapiens (human). RNAcentral describes it as "non-protein coding lnc-TRMT11-2:2". The record is from RNAcentral. Lineage: Eukaryota; Metazoa; Chordata; Mammalia; Primates; Hominidae.
AGAAACUGUGUCUUUAAAGAUUUUUUCUUUUUUUAAGAGAGAGAGUUUCGCUCUUGUCGCCCAGGCUGGAGUGCAAUGGUGUGAUCUCGGCUCACUGCAACUUCUGCCUCCCGGCUUCAAACGAUUCUCCUGCCUCAGCCUCCCGAGUACCUAGGAUUACGGGCAGCCUGCUACCAUGCCCAGCUAAUUUUUGUAUUUUUAGUAGAGAAAGGUUUCAUCAUAUUGGCUAGGCUGGUCUCAAACUCCUGAUCUCAGGUGAUCCACCCGCCUCAGCCUCCCAAACGGCUGGGAUUACAGGCAAGAGCCACCACACCUGGCCUUUAAAGGGCUUUUUAAAAAAAGGUUAAAUGUUUUUCACCAGUGCUCAAUGAGAAACACAAACAUGAUUACAUUGUUUGGAGUGGCUGAAUUACUUGAUCAAAAUUUAAAAAAAAAGGUAUUUUCCCUAAGUGGUUUUUGCUUAGUACAGCACCUUUUUUUCCCCUCAGUUUUCAUGUCCUGAAUUAUUUCUGCAUCAUUAAGUUUAGCUGAGGAGCCAAAAUUCUGUCAUUGUGGGGGGAUUGCUGAGGUGUCACAUCGACAAAGGGAGGUACUUAGAAUAAGAUGUCAUUUUGGUCUGUUCUUGAGUGUUACUCCAAGAAGUUAUGUGAGCAGAGAAACACUAAUCCUGUGGGCCAUCUGUCUUUCCCAUCAUGUGGCAGAACCCCCAUGCAGAAUCUCUAGUCAAGGUUGGACCAUGGCUGCAUUUCAUUACAUCUGAAAAGAGUCCCCGGUAGUUAUGUGAUUUUUACCUCACAGAUUGCUCAGAAUCACAUAAAGCCUCAACAAAUAUUUCCUCACAGAUUUAUUCUAGCCCUGGUCAAAAGUGUGAAGUAGGACAUUUUCUUCAAGUGUAUUUUUUUUUCUGUCUUAUUGAAACACUUUCAAUACUGUUAGCGUGACUUUGUGUCCCAUCCGUCCAAUAUUUGCUGUACUCACAGCUGUUACCUCUGCAGGAAAUCUUUGCAAACUAGAGUCUUCAUUCUUUCAUGGUUCUAGGCAGUAAGCUUAGAAGGGACAGUGGAGCUGUAACACUCACUGUUUCAUAAGUUUUUAAACUUAUGCUGUAAAAGUCUCUGAUACAUGCAAGAUCAGAGAAAAUGUAGAACAAAGGAGGCAUAUAGAUGAGGUGAGGAUACUGGGAAGAUAAUAAAUUUGCACAGAAGGGAAGGGAGUUUAUAAAAUGUGGGAAGAGUCAGGAAAGGCUGGCAGGAGGUGAACCGGGGUGUAAGAAGGAUGUGUACAAUAUGUAGGUAGAGAAGAUAUGUCAUGAGGCCUCGCAAUGCCCUCAUUACCAUUAUGGUUAGGUAGUUGCCAACACAUGUUUUCGGAGCACCUACUGUGUGCCAAACAUUAUUCUGGUGCUCAGGGUAUGGCAGUAAAUGAGCCUAGCAGAAUUUCUGUCUUCAAGGAGCUAACAUUCUAUUCUAGUAAAAAAGUUCUCUUGCCCUUGCUAAGUUUGAAAUGCCUGUUUAUGGCAAAGGAGUAGAAAUGGUAGAUGCUUUAUAUAAAAAUAUAUGAUUUGUCUUGGCAAAGCAUCCUUGAGGAGAGAUUAGUACAGUGCAAAAAAGUAUUGAGUAACAUUCUCCCCGUUUCCACCUUUCUGUCAGGUCAUAGAUAUAAAUUACAAUUCUGGCCCUCAUUCACCCUCACAUAGCUUUCUGGCAUCCUUUCCCAUUCUCUGAACAUGAGAGGAAUGAGAAGGUUAUUUGGAAGGUCGCUGAUCUUAGGAGUUGUCCUGCUACAGUUACCGGAGAAUCUUGAAUUUCAUCUGAAAAGACUGCAAGGCAGUCGGGGCAAGCAUGCUAUGAGAAGUCAACUGGUAAGCAGACCCCAGAGAUGAGAAGCAUAUGGGAAGCCAACCCCAUGAUUUGCUUCCUUAAAAAGUAUGGGCUGUGGAUGGAUUUUAAAUCCUACUCUAAAUACAAGACUGGUGUUAGCGGUCUACCCAAAUAAUGAGGAAAAUGUUGAUGCUUCUCUCAGCCUCAGGACCUUAAAGCCACACUGUUCCUAACCACGCUUGCCUAUAUGGCACUUAGCACUUUACACAAAAAACAAACAGAGGUGUUUAUUCCCUGGCAGUUAAUAUAAAUGCUUUCUGUUUUGUAAAAUAGGAACAGUAUUUGAUUCCAUUAUCACAGAUCUCUUGUGGACAAGUCAAAAUUCUUCAAUUAAGGUUAUAUCUAGUUAAAGGAAUUUUUCUCUUUGGUCUACAUCCCCACCCUGAAUGUCCUUGCCUGUUAGUUCCUUGCAGGUGAAAGGUAAAAAACCUUUGCAACUUCAUGCUAUAAUUGUGCCUUUGAAUUUUCAGAGGAAAAGACAGUGAGAGAGCAAGAGCAGAUUGAGAAGCAGAAGAGUGAGUCGCAAAAAGAGAAAAUGACAGAAAUGGAGCACCCUGGUGAGUCCCAACCACAUCCAUUCUUGAUGAUAACAACCAAAGCUCAGAAAAUGAUUUCUUACAGAAUGUUGUAUCAAAAGGAGCAUAUUGUAUGUGCAAAGUUGCUGCAGCUUUCCUAAGUUGGCUUCAAACUAUCCAACUAUGAUGUUAACAUAUUACCUUCAGCCAGUAUGAUACACAUAUUGGAAUGUUUUGUAUCAUUGACUACUUUUCCUGUGUCUGUCCACUCUACUGUUUCAAACCCCUGGUACUGGGACAGUGAUUGAACCCAGGUAUUCUUGUCAAUAAUAGUUGGAGGGGCUUAGCAAUAGAUCAAGGUAUAGAAGAAUUAAACCUGCUAUAGCUUGAUCUACUUUGAGAUUAGAGUGUACAGGGUCCUCUCCAACCUGACACACUUGGCCCUUUUCUGACAUAGGUUUAGUAAGUUUUGUGUGCAUUUGUAGAUAUUUUUUCAUUCCUAGGGGUUUGGCUUCAUUGAGAUGUGAGUUGUGGAGCCAAAAUACCAGAGAGGGUAUCAUAAAAUAUGCUUGAACUUGGGUUAAUUCCUCUUGGACUGAAUUGUAGUGCCAUAAACCAAGCUUUUCAAAAAGAUUGGAUGCAAAACUAUUAUGGCAACAGGAAUUUUUAUCAACAUAAAGCAGGAUUUAAUGCAGGUAUAUAGUAUAUAGAGUCAAAAAGGAUUAUAAGAUUUAUAAUGAAAAACAGCAGUACUCUACUUCUCCAUUUGCUAUCCCCAACUCUCGAUGUGCAGAUACCAAUUUCAACUUGUUUAGCUAUUUCUUCUGGCAUCUAAUUCCAAAUGGCUAAAUAACAUGUUUAUACUAAUUUCUUAUAUAUGUG